Molecule: long non-coding RNA, 269 nt
Organism: Oncorhynchus gorbuscha (pink salmon)
Lineage: Eukaryota; Metazoa; Chordata; Actinopteri; Salmoniformes; Salmonidae
Exons: 2
Source: RefSeq, a predicted model, not a curated record
UGACAGCCAGUGAGAGCCAGGUGGAAGAACUGAAGAAAGAAAAGACCACCUUGGAGGCCAGAGUGACAGCCAGGCGGAAGAACUGAAGAAAUAGAAGACCACCUGGGAGGCCAGAGUGACAGGCAGGUGGAAGAGCUGAAGAAAUAAAAGACCACCUGGAGGCCAGAGUGACAGCCAGUGAGAGCCAGGUGGAAGACCUGAAGAAAGAAAAGACCACCUGGGAGGCCAGAGUGACAGCCAGUGAGAGCCAGGUGGAAGAACUGAAGAAA